GACGAACGCUGGCGGCGCGCCUAACACAUGCAAGUCGAACGAGAGAGAGGGAGCUUGCUUCCUUGAUCGAGUGGCGAACGGGUGAGUAACGCGUGAGGAACCUGCCUCAAAGAGGGGGACAACAGUUGGAAACGACUGCUAAUACCGCAUAAGCCCACGGCUCGGCAUCGAGCAGAGGGAAAAGGAGCAAUCCGCUUUGAGAUGGCCUCGCGUCCGAUUAGCUAGUUGGUGAGGUAAUGGCCCACCAAGGCGACGAUCGGUAGCCGGACUGAGAGGUUGAACGGCCACAUUGGGACUGAGACACGGCCCAGACUCCUACGGGAGGCAGCAGUGGGGAAUAUUGCACAAUGGGGGAAACCCUGAUGCAGCGACGCCGCGUGGAGGAAGAAGGUCUUCGGAUUGUAAACUCCUGUUGUUGAGGAAGAUAAUGACGGU
This 435-nucleotide ribosomal RNA is filed under the name uncultured bacterium. RNAcentral describes it as "bacterial SSU rRNA". It matches the Rfam family "Bacterial small subunit ribosomal RNA", at positions 28 to 458 of the family's 1533-position model. The record is from RNAcentral.